RNAcentral lists this ribosomal RNA (164 nucleotides) under Centroglossa greeniana. RNAcentral's name for it is "5.8S ribosomal RNA". It matches the Rfam family "5.8S ribosomal RNA". Rfam says of the family: 5.8S ribosomal RNA (5.8S rRNA) is a component of the large subunit of the eukaryotic ribosome. It is transcribed by RNA polymerase I as part of the 45S precursor that also contains 18S and 28S rRNA. Functionally, it is thought that 5.8S rRNA may be involved in ribosome translocation. Lineage: Eukaryota; Viridiplantae; Streptophyta; Magnoliopsida; Asparagales; Orchidaceae. The record is from RNAcentral.
GGCACGACUCUCGGCAAUGGAUAUCUCGGCUCUUGCAUCGAUGAAGAGCGCAGCGAAAUGCGAUACGUGGUGCGAAUUGCAGAAUCCCGCGAACCAUCGAGUCUUUGAACGCAAGUUGCGCCCGAGGCCAACCGGCUAAGGGCACGUCUGCCUGGGCGUCAAGC